Molecule: ribosomal RNA, 372 nt
Filed under: uncultured organism
Description: bacterial SSU rRNA
Rfam family: Bacterial small subunit ribosomal RNA
Source: RNAcentral
CAGAGGGUGCGAGCGUUAAUCGGAAUUACUGGGCGUAAAGCGCGCGUAGGCGGCUUUGCAAGUCGGGUGUGAAAUCCCCAGGCUUAACCUGGGAACUGCAUUCGAGACUGCAUUGCUAGAGUAUGGGAGAGGGAAGUGGAAUUUCCGGUGUAGCGGUGAAAUGCGUAGAUAUCGGAAGGAACAUCAGUGGCGAAAGCGACUUCCUGGACCAAUACUGACGCUCAUGUGCGAAAGCGUGGGGAGCAAACAGGAUUAGAUACCCUGGUAGUCCACGCCAUAAACGAUGACAACUGGAUGUCGGGAGGGUCUGCCUCUCGGUGUCGUAGCUAACGCGUUAAGUUGCCCGCCUGGGGGAGUACGGCCGCAAGGUUG